UUCAAUGGAAUAAAAUAUAACACACCCAGAUCCAUUAUGCUGUUACACAAGUGUUUUCACAUCACUUUUUUUACUGAGCUGUUUGCUUUUACAUAAGAUCUCUAUUACCGUGUUUACGAGGAUACUUGCACAGACGGGCAUUUCGUUGCUGAUUGUGUGUCAACAGCUUAAGUUAUAACGUGUGACUGUGAUAGAGACGAGAAUCAAAAAAACACACUGAUGGCAAUAAUGAGGUCUCUGCAAACCAUCUUCUUGUUGGUUGUUCUUUGUCUUACCAACUUUGUUGCAAGUGCAGAUGUGAUCAAAUAUAAAGGUGACAAUUUCACCAUGAAGUUUCCUGCACCUCAGAAAGAAGCACUGGGUGUAUUUCUGUACAGCAGAAGUGAGAUCAGCCGAGAAGUCUUCUACUACUAUUUUAAAACCAAGAAAUUAACUGUCCAUAAAGACUUUGAAGGACGUGUUGGAGUCAAAUAUGAUGAAAAGACCCUGACAAUAGACAUCAUUAACCUACGACUGACAGACGCUGGGGCUUACUGGUGCACCUGCAAUCGUUUGCUGGGGGAAUGUACAAUGGACGACAAAGGUCCUUUUCUUUUGGUGUAUGUGCCAGUGGUCAAUCUGGCCUCUUCCAAAAGUGUUGAUCCAAAGUCUGGUGGCAUAAAUGAAUUAAUGAUCCUAGUGAUGGCUAUCACAGCUGGCAGUGUGCUCUUACUGUAACUCCUUGUGUUUGGAGUGUGGCUGGUGCCCAAGUUCUUCUCCUUCAGUGGCAAUCGCCAAUGAGGCUGGAUUGAGAUGGAGAGAAGAUAUCACCUUCAUGCUCAAUGAGGAGGAUUCCAAUGUCAUCAGUAAUCGUCAUCAGAGUCCUAACAACAUAAGAGCACAAUCAUUAUAUUUCUCCGUACAUAACCAUCAAUAAUGUUAAGCAAUUUGAGUUCUGUCUUCACAAUGAUUAUUUACAUUUGGUGACAGACUUUUAACAUAGGAACAGA
This is a long non-coding RNA of Carassius carassius (crucian carp), 989 nucleotides long. RefSeq lists it as uncharacterized. NCBI's taxonomy places the organism in Eukaryota, Metazoa, Chordata, Actinopteri, Cypriniformes, Cyprinidae. The transcript is spliced from 4 exons. The record is from RefSeq and is a predicted model, not a curated record.